RNAcentral lists this transfer RNA (67 nucleotides) under Hypsugo alaschanicus (Alashanian pipistrelle). RNAcentral's name for it is "tRNA-Val". Lineage: Eukaryota; Metazoa; Chordata; Mammalia; Chiroptera; Vespertilionidae. The record is from RNAcentral.
CAAAGUGUAGCUUAGAUAAAGCACCUAGUUUACACCUAGAGAUUUCAACUCAAACUGAACACUUUGA